RNAcentral lists this long non-coding RNA (1530 nucleotides) under Homo sapiens (human). RNAcentral describes it as "HSALNT0258840". The record is from RNAcentral. Lineage: Eukaryota; Metazoa; Chordata; Mammalia; Primates; Hominidae.
CAUGGCUGCAGGGAAGGGGGGUGUCACUGACUGCUGGAGGAGCCCGGGGUCCAGGGUUUGCACCAAGAGUCCCUGCGGCAGGUAUCAGGGAGACAUGUUUCACCCCCCCACCUUAAAAGCCCUCAGACCCCAAGGCUCCUGCUUACCCCGCUCCACACGGCCACUGGGGGGGCCAGGUCGAGAAGGGUCGAAGUUGGCCAGCUCCUUCUCCAUGUAGUACAGGACCCGCAUGGAGUCGUCCUGCUGGCUGGCCUGAAUCCUGUAGCCACUGCGGACUUCUAGGGACAGGGGGGUGGUGGUCGGUUUGGGAGGAUGGAUCCUGGCCCACCCCUCUCCCUUACAGGCACAUCCAACUUCGGGACGAUGGAUUCUCACCAGAGGCCACACUGCUGUCCGUGUCCCGAAGCAGGGGUACAUAGGAGCCUUGGCCACCAGCUGGGGGAGAGUGGCUGUCAGUGGCCGCGCACCAGGAGCAGAGCCCCUCCUCGGCUCCCAAGACACUCUUCCUUCCAGCCCCUGCCCCUCAGUGUCCAGAUGCCCAGCACACUCCCACCAGCUGUUCCUGCUUCCCCCGGCCUCACCUGAGCUACUCCUGUCAACGUCUCCAGGGUAUCCUCCAGGGUACCCGUUGUAGGCAGGGCCCAUGGGAAUCAUAGCUGGUGGGGGUGGGGUCUUGGCGGGAGACAGGUGGGCAUAGGUGCUGGGGGCAUAAAUGCUGGGAACACCUGAGGUGGCUGCUUUGCCGGCGGCAUACACUGUGAGGACACAAUCAACAGGAGAAGGGGGAUGAGGCAGGAGCCAGGCUGCCCCAUACCCAUUGGGUUCCGGAGGGACCUGGGCCUGGACCUCCUUCCCAAGCCGUCCUCUCCGCUGUAGAGCUUCCUUGGACAUCUGAGUCCCUGUUGGUCCUCAUUCCAUUUCUGCAGCAUCCCUGAGGCUGGGGGACACCAGCUUCACAGAGACCCCACCCCACUUCCUGUGUGAUUUUUCAGAGGGUGCACGCAGGCACCCACAGCCCCAGGGUGGCAGAACAAUGUUUCAUUUAACAGCAUGGUAAUUCGCCAACAUUUGUCAAUCAAAAGGUUUUACCUAAACUUCCAACUCCCCAGCUAACUUACUGGAAGAAGUGGCCACCCAUGGUCUGUGUGUUUACAGGGCAACAAAGCUGCCCUUUAUAUAAAGCCCAGAUGCUGGGUCCACCACUGUCCCCACAAGCCGAAAUCAAGUAUCCUCUUUGGCAGCCAAGCCCCUGUUCUAGAAAAAAUGAGUCAUCUGGGAGACGUGGGUCCUGCCCACCUGGUCACCUUCCAGAUUGAGAUGCAGUGGCAGGAGCCUCGGGAAUUAACUUGCCUGCCCCGGCCAAGCAGCAAAGUGUCUCCUCUAGUGUUUCUAACUCAUGGACUGCACCCAUUUCUGCCUGCCCCACCAGGCUCUAGGCUUGACAGUUCAAGGUCGGGGAGAAGAUGCCAGGUCUCCAGUGGGAACAGCAGCCAGGCCUCCUCCACAUCUCCAACCUCUGGUUCCUUCUUU